CAAAGUCAUGGAUUACAUCAGAUGAAAGAAUACAGCAGCUGAGUGUAGAAUGCAGGUGAAGCAAUUUCCCUGCAGAGGACAAUCCACUGUCACUUCCAAAGCCAGCAGGUGCUCAGAGGAGUGACUGUAACCAUAGAACUGUGCUCAGUGAUACCCCAGAAGAUGAGCAGAACUUGAACAUGAAGAUACUGAUUAUGCUGAAUCUGUUUGAAAAAUAUAUUCCCGAAGCAAAGAAAUACCAUUGAACAAGCCAUUGGUGGUGAGUUUUAGAGACCAAUUUCCUGUAAACUUUUGUAGCUUAAAAAUGAUUUGUUGAAUUUCUACUUUUCUCUUCAAGAUUUACUGUGACAGUAAUUGUUUGACAUAGUGUCAAGACGAAAUUCUUUUCUGUUAACUGAAGUUUUCCA
This 407-nucleotide long non-coding RNA is filed under the name Junco hyemalis (dark-eyed junco). Its description in RNAcentral is "lncRNA (ENSJHYG00000014136.1)". The record is from RNAcentral. Lineage: Eukaryota; Metazoa; Chordata; Aves; Passeriformes; Passerellidae.